CUCGAACCGGGGCACCAAAACGACUCUGCAGAGCAUCACAUCGACGACCAGCGUGGGGGUGGGCGCAGCCGUGCAUGGAAUCAGUGUGCAGCGUCGUUGUCCACCUAAAUAUAGUAUGGGAAGAAUCGGUCGCGCCAACCACGCAUCCUGGUGACCUCCUCUGACGGGGGAAUUGGCCGGAGUGCCGGCAAUUGCUCACCAGAUUUCAAGAAAUUGCCUCGGACCGCCCUUCAUCGUCGGCGUAGCGGCCUGCUACUUAUUCCACGGUGAGUUACCCUUAGAUCGAUUCGCCUUGCUCUCCUCUUCGCGUGGGUCCGGAUAGUUCUGUAGGAGUGAAGACCGUACCGCCAGGCCACCUAUCUCGACGAAAGCGCCGCCGUGACAUCACCCUCCGCUGUCGUGCCUCGGUACCGAUGGGGGGAAGAUAGGGCUUCUGUCGUCCGUUGCCAGAUGUGUGGCGGGGAAUAGGCGGGGAGCAUACCUCUUCGGUCACUUAAUCCAAGCCACUGGAUCUUUGGCCAAUUGCCAAGAUUAGAUCACCGCGUAAUGAGUUAGUACCAUUAGAUUUAGAUCUGAUGGAUCUCGUGGCGUACUGGUUCAGUAUUUUGGCCGAUCUAAUCCUAACCCUUGGUUUCUAAUCCAGCAGCCUAGAUCCUAGCAAAGCAUACCCCUUCGUCGAGCCUUAUUUGCAAAAGAAACCCCGCAUAACUUAAUAACUAACCCGCCAUCCCUCAAUAGUAUGAGUAUUUCACAAUUAAGUCCCUGGAAUUAGCAAAUGAACCCCUGGAAGUAUUAUUUAGGUAUAAAUUUAAUAAUAAAAUACCUAGAAACUAUUUAAUCCAUAUCUCGUCUGGUUUAACUCCGAUUUCACUCGUUCCAGUUGUGUUAACUUCAUAAUAAUAUUGCCUACACAAUAACAAUAUCAUUUGAUCAUGUCCCAUAGCUUUUAUAUAUAGGUAGUAUUUAACCUAUGUUUUGGGUAGAUUAAUCUUUCUUAAUAUAUAUCCAUGAUUAUAACCAAAUUAGGAUAUGCCCUGCUCAGGUUGUAACUUAGAGUAAAGUUGAAUUAGUUAUAUCUUUAAUGUACUCUCUCAUAUAAUACACAUUAAUCCACAUAGAAUCUAGUUUCUAUUAUUCAAUCACAUAACUCUUCCGAAAAUCAUAACUUGAUAACCGUAGCUCCGAAUUUAGUGGUUCUCGAACCCUCGAUCUUGUUGCGACGCGUAGAAUAUUAUUAUGCAGUUUGUGCUUAUGUUUGGUGUGAUGUUAAUUUUGCCUAUACCCUGUUUGUUUGUAUUGCUACGACUAGCGCGAGGUUACGAGUCAUCUAAAGAGCAAGUUGGUACCUGGAAUCUCAAGUCCCAGGCAAGUUGUGCCUUUGAUCACUCCUUUUUACCUAAUAAUGUUCAUUGUUAAUCACUAUGACAUGAUCAGGUUAAUUUGAUGGGACCUAAUAGGUUUCCCCUAGCAUUGUUUAUCCCUCACCUUGCAAACAUAUGAACUAUUGGGUAGAUUUGCUAUUGCUCUACCUGGUUUUGGGAAACUAUUGUUUCAUUAUGAUCAUGUUCCAAUUAUGUUGUUGUUUAAAUUAUUGUUCAUGAUAAGAUCAUAUUGUUAAUUGGAACAUGGAGAACCACCUGGGAAAACAGUGCUACCACAAGGGUGGUAUGGGACGCCCUUGGCUGACUAAUUAGGAAAGCUAGUGGAUGACUACCUUACCCAAAAGGGGCAAGGGCAAUAGGGGAGUAGUCAGUGUAGGGAGGUCCUUGGGUUGAUUUUGCUGCGAUGGCGGUCAGGCGAGGGAUCCCUGCAUUGGAGCUUCCUAGAAACAGUAGCGAGUUUUCUGAAGCUAGUGGAACUUUGUAAAGGCCUCAUAGUGUUACCCUGCCUCGCUUCCUUGGUAGAGGUGUAUGCGAUUCAUGACCUCUUGGCAGAUGGGUAACUUGACUUGUGGGUCAAGAUGCGCAACCUCUGCAGAGUGUAAAACUGGUAUAUCAGCCGUGCUCACGGUCAUGAGCGGCUCGGACACUCACAUGAUUAAUUUAGGGAACUAAAUUUAAUUUAUCAUAUGCAUUGCAUCGCGGGUGUUGUUACCAAUUUUGAUCUAUUACUUUUUUGGGUUGGUAUUUACUUACACUUAGUAACUAACCAACUUUAAAAGCGAUGCUCAGCUUUAACCAUCCUCGUUGGUAAGUCUUACACUUCACAUGAGCUCCCACCUUUGGUGAGUUCAUGCACAUUAUUCCUCACAACUUGUUAAGUGGUGAACGUAUGUGAGCUCACCCUUGCUAUCUCACACCCCCCAGGUCAAGGACAGGUACCGCAGGAUGAGACGGAUGGAGGAUGUUGUGAUGAGUUUGUGAGAGGUCUAGGCUGUCGUCUCCUAGUCAACUUGGGUUGCUGGAUCGUUGUCUCCUUAUGAUGUAAUUAUUUAUUGGGAAAUUUGGAUCCAUACCAUUAAAAGAUCACCACUUUGGAUCCAUACCAUUACUAUCUCACUUACAUGUGGGUCCACAUGAGUCAAUGACAUAUGGGGUCCAUGGUAUAUAUCUAAAGUUUGGAUCUUUUAAUGGUAUAGAUCCAAUUGUUCCUUAUUUAUUUGUUUUGUACAGAACUCUUAUUAUAUAGUAAAAAUAUGGUAUUCGUUUCUGUACCAUGAUUUAUCAUAUGUGUGAGACUUGGUCCCAGCACACCUGGUGAUUAUCUCA
This 2708-nucleotide long non-coding RNA is filed under the name Zea mays. Its description in RNAcentral is "long non-coding RNA (ZMAY_LNC004941)". Lineage: Eukaryota; Viridiplantae; Streptophyta; Magnoliopsida; Poales; Poaceae. The record is from RNAcentral.